RNAcentral lists this transfer RNA (73 nucleotides) under Daphnia pulicaria. RNAcentral's name for it is "tRNA-Lys". It matches the Rfam family "tRNA". From Rfam's summary of the family: Transfer RNA (tRNA) molecules are approximately 80 nucleotides in length. Their secondary structure includes four short double-helical elements and three loops (D, anti-codon, and T loops). Lineage: Eukaryota; Metazoa; Arthropoda; Branchiopoda; Diplostraca; Daphniidae. The record is from RNAcentral.
GCCUGGCUAGCUCAGUCGGUAGAGCAUGAGACUCUUAAUCUCAGAGUCGGGGGUUCGAGCCCCCCGUUGGGCG